AAGGUCGAUGCGGGAGAGUUCGACGUCGCAAGACGAGCGAACACCGAAGGAGCAAUCCUCCCCGACAAUCUCUCAGGUACGCGUACCGCAUCGAACUG
This is a non-coding RNA of Cryobacterium sp. MLB-32, 98 nucleotides long. Lineage: Bacteria; Bacillati; Actinomycetota; Actinomycetes; Micrococcales; Microbacteriaceae. The record is from Rfam.